AUUUCCCUACGGGAGGCAGCAGUGGGGAAUAUUGCACAAUGGGGGGAACCCUGAUGCAGCGACGCCGCGUGGGUGAAGAAGCGCCUCGGCGCGGAAAGCCCUGUCAGCAGGGAAGAAAAUGACGGUACCUGAAGAAGAAGCCCCGGCUAACUACGUGCCAGCAGCCGCGGUAAUACGUAGGGGGCAAGCGUUAUCCGGAUUUACUGGGUGUAAAGGGGGCGCAGACGGCGAUGCAAGCCAGGAGUGAAAGCCCGGGGCCCAACCCCAGGACUGCUCUUGGAACUGCGGGGCUGGAGGGCAGGAGG
This 305-nucleotide ribosomal RNA is filed under the name uncultured bacterium. Its description in RNAcentral is "bacterial SSU rRNA". It matches the Rfam family "Bacterial small subunit ribosomal RNA", at positions 333 to 655 of the family's 1533-position model. The record is from RNAcentral.